RNAcentral lists this long non-coding RNA (2495 nucleotides) under Lynx pardinus (Iberian lynx). Lineage: Eukaryota; Metazoa; Chordata; Mammalia; Carnivora; Felidae. The record is from RNAcentral.
GCAGGGGCAAAGGAGGAAGCCAGGGAAAGGCCCCGAGUCUAGAAAAAGCAAGUCCAUGCUCUGGAAGCCAGACUCUGGCUCUCUACGCCUCAAAGGAAGGAACUAGCUGUGCUAAAAUCUGGGAGAGCCUGGUCCCAGGCUGAUGGGGAAGCAGCGGGUCACAGUGGGUGAGGUAAAGCUGGCUCCCACUCCCUCUUGAAGGGCCCAGGGGAGGCUAAAGAGCCUAGUGGGCCUUGUUCCUGAAAGACUCUCCCCUCCCCCAGGGCCCCAUGCCCCUCAGGCUUGGCCCAGUCUCAGGGAAGACUGCUUCUUCAAGUCUCCACCCAGGCAACCAUAGAGAGGUACCCUGGGCCAAGCUGAGGGCUGUGAUGCUUUCCCUAUACCCUGGCCUCCCCUUCCCUCCCAAGGGCCCAGUACCCAUAGGGAUCCCUGCCCUCCCCCCCAAGAGAACCACAGGCCAGCAACUUCAGGUCCCUGUGGCCCCUUAACCAAGUGCUGUGCUUCAAGCAGUACCCCCUGCCCCGAGCCCCACUUGCCCGUGGGCAGCCUCAGUGUGAGCCUGAGGAGGCUACUGAGGGUUCUUGAGGAUGCGGCCAUGGCGGAAGUCAUAGACAUGGCGGCAAAGAAACACCAGCUCAGGGUCCGUGUCCUCGGGCACUGUGCGGUGUGGCGGGGUGGAGUAGUCCGCAGAGGGGGGCACCAGUGCUGUCUUGCGGCUGGGGAGGCCCUCGCCUCGACGCUUGGCCAUGGCACAGAAUCUGCAGUGACACACCACCAUCUGCUGUCUUUACCACAGCCACCUUUGCAGGAAGAUCAAUUCCUUCCCCACCCUGCCCAGAGAGCUGGGGCAUCCCCUCCCACCCCCACAAGGGCUGGUGCUGCCUCCAUCCCUGUCCUGGGGGCUAUGCCCUCUCUGCCAACCGCCAGUCCAUCUUCUCUGUCACUGGGGAAGCACAUCUGCUGGGGCCUCCCUCCCAACACCUGCCAAUUCUCCUCGAUGGUUCUCUGAGAGCAGUACUGUAACCAUCCUCAACUCUGCCUCAACCACUCUGUCUUAGAGGAAGAACAAUUUUUCUUUCUUCUACAAACAUCAGAUGGUGGAAGGCUGUGAAGAAGAACAUUCUGGGAGGUCAGGCCCAGUGAAUGAGAUCCCCUUGGGAAUUUCAGCCCCCGAAACAGUCCUGGGGAGUCUGAGGGGAGAGGCUAGACAGAGGUGCAGGGUACCACCCACCUGCAGUACUCAGCAAAGGUCAGCACGUAGCACUUCUCCUCGAUGCAGGCCACACUGUUCUGGUCCUGAUGUCUCGAUGCAAAGACUUCAUUCUGCAAAGGCUCAAGGAGAGAGAGGAGGUUGUUGGUACCAGGACUGGAAGCACCUACCUCCAGUAGCAAGGUGGACAUUAACUCUUCUCCUGGGACUUGUGACCUGAGAUAACUCCAGCGAGUGCCCAGGAAGCCAGGGAGCAUCUCUGGAAUUCUGGCCUAACUGCUCCGCACCUAGUGCCCACCCCAAGGCACUCUUCCCUCCCUAGGUCCCUCCUACUCAGGAAUAGCCAGGGGCCUGUUCCAGCACCGCCCCCCAGCCCAUGUCAUCAGCCUCCUGACCCCCAGCUCAAGGGAGGAGAGGGGAACUGGUGCCCAUCUCCCCAUGAGAUGAAAAGUCCCAGCAAGGGAAACAAAGCGAAAGGGAGCUCAGACUGCGGGCGGAGUGACCACACCGAUGGCAGUAUCUCUCCUGGCACACAGCUGGGUAAAGUGCCCAAGAGUGUCUGGAGUCUCUUGUCUCCUCCCUCUCAUGCCACAGAUGGUAUCAAAGGGGGCCAGGUGUGCAGUUCCACCUCCCCUUUCCUGCUGCCAGGAGGACACAUCUACUUGCUCCCAUUCUGGCAUGCCCUUGGGGGCUUCCCUUCCUGUUCCCCUUUUAAGACAAAAGUUACUGUUCCCUUUAAAACAUGAAUUGGAUCAGUGUUGGGAAAAGAGGCUAAAACCCAGGCCCUUCCAUGGCAUCCAAGGCGACGAUCACGCGAUUGCCCAUGGCUGCCUCCCCAACCAUGUUCUUGGUGCCGCAGUUUCUCCCUCUGCCACCCCUGCCCUCCCCAACACACCUGCCAGGCGGCUCACCUCGUGCAUGCUGGGACUGCGGCCUCCCUGUAAGUGCUCUGGUCUGUAAUACCACAAGAGGCUCAUCAUCAGCUCUCCUAGGGGGACAAGAGAAGCAGUCAUGGCUUGAGCUGGCAACCCCAGAGUUACUUAGACAGGCAGGAAGGCUGGCCACCUGCCCUGCAGUCUCAUCCAACUUCAACGCCUGGGCCAAUCCUGCAGGCUCCAGCCACCCAUAUCCCCUGCCUCAGGCCAAGCCUGGCAGCUCAGUGGCCUGGAAUGCUGUCAGGCAUGGAGGAAGAAGGGGGAAAAGGCACUGACAGGUGGGGGGGGGACAGGUGCCUAGCCCUCGGUGGCGGGAAAGGUUAAAGAGCUGAUCCAACCCAAACCACAAG